GCCGGUGUAGCUCAGUGGCAGAGCAGCUGUUUCGUAAACAGCAGGUCGUCGGUUCGAACCCGACCACCGGCUCCA
This 75-nucleotide transfer RNA is filed under the name Verrucomicrobiota bacterium. Its description in RNAcentral is "tRNA-Thr". It matches the Rfam family "tRNA". From Rfam's summary of the family: Transfer RNA (tRNA) molecules are approximately 80 nucleotides in length. Their secondary structure includes four short double-helical elements and three loops (D, anti-codon, and T loops). Lineage: Bacteria; Pseudomonadati; Verrucomicrobiota. The record is from RNAcentral. RNAcentral also lists the same sequence under 2 other names.